AGAGGAAUUUCUCUAGGGUUGCCAGAAAAAGCAGGAUCACCAUCUCCACAUCACCACUGUAAAAAUAGACACUUCUCUUUGGGAAUUGCUACUUCAGAUUGAUUUCUAGAAGCUUGUGGCCUCCUGACAGAGAUGGAAUUAAAUAGUCUCAAUGUAAAAGAAGCUCAAGGAUUGUGUCCUGGCAGAAAAGCUUGGGGAAAGGAACAACUGGAGUCAGUCACCCUGCAGAGCUGAGCAAUUUCUUCUGCUUUCAAAGCUCAUGAGACACAAGCAAGGGCUCUGUGAAGAAACACUGCAGAAUCCCUUUGGAUUGUGCCAGGAUGUUUCCACUUGUUGAGGAAUAUAUUUGGUGUUGUCAGCUUAGUGUGCAGCUGAAGGGCAAAUGACUGCACACUCAGAGACACAGCAGGAGCUGAUGAUGCCAGGCUUUGGCAUGCUGAGACUGUGAGGGUGUAAAAGUCGAGGGUUUCCUUCUUUUGGGGUCCCUCCUUGGAGGCACACAGCUCAAGUUGUUAUUUUGUUAUUGCACCGUGAUUAAAUAAUUUUAAAGAU
Molecule: long non-coding RNA, 552 nt
Organism: Oenanthe melanoleuca
Lineage: Eukaryota; Metazoa; Chordata; Aves; Passeriformes; Muscicapidae
Exons: 2
Source: RefSeq, a predicted model, not a curated record